RNA transcript from Phacochoerus africanus (Common warthog), 1234 nucleotides. It is a transcript of the gene named phosphopantothenoylcysteine decarboxylase, with no coding region annotated. NCBI's taxonomy places the organism in Eukaryota, Metazoa, Chordata, Mammalia, Artiodactyla, Suidae. The transcript has 9 exons. The record is from RefSeq and is a predicted model, not a curated record.
UUGCGUGCAGCCAGAAUCAGCGGGAGGAGCGGCCGAGGUAUCGCGGUAUUUGGGGGCUGCCCUCGAGACACGCCUGCAGCGGAUCUUAAAUUCUGACAGAGCUGUAUGGAGCCCAGUUCUAGCAAGCUUCCAGGACCCGAAGUCACCAGACCCCACAUGGAAUCAAGGGCCACAUGUUCGGCUGCUGCUCCCUUGGAGAGACAGUUCCGAGUUCUCAUAGGUGUUACUGGGAGUGUUGCAGCCUUGAAGUUGCCUCUUCUAGUGUCAAGACUUUUGGAUAUUCCUGGCCUAGAAGUAGCAGUGGUCACAACUGAGAGGGCUAAACAUUUCUACAACCCCCAGGAUGUUCCUGUCACCCUCUACAGCGACGCUGAUGAAUGGGAGAUGUGGAAGUGCCGAUCUGAUCCAGUUCUCCACAUUGACCUGCGGAGAUGGGCAGACCUCAUGCUGGUGGCUCCUCUUGAUGCCAACACUCUGGGGAAGGUGGCCAGUGGCAUCUGUGACAACUUGCUUACCUGUGUCAUCCGGGCCUGGGACCGCAGCAAGCCCCUGCUCUUCUGCCCAGCAAUGAACACUGCCAUGUGGGAGCACCCCCUCACUGAGCAGCAGGUGGGCCAGCUCAAGGCCUUCGGCUAUGUCGAGAUCCCCUGUGUGGCCAAGAAGCUGGUCUGUGGAGACCAAGCCCAGAACCUCUCUAAACUGCUAUGGCUGUUGCUGAGCAAGAGGAGGAAGCCUUUGAGCAAGGCCCAGCCUCCACCCUGGACUGUCUCCAGCUCUUCCUCCACACAACUGAUGUGUCCCCCUGCAGCCUCCCCAUUGCCUCAGGACACUGUCCUGGACAAAGGCCAGCCCUGUUCUCAAGGCACUUCUGGUUCAGUGAGUAGCCAAAAGAGCAGAUAGACAAGCCCAGGGAGGAAGGGAUGGAGGCAUGCAGCAGAGGAGUCCCACCCAGGGGACAAGAACACACUCCUCUUACCAGCUUCUGGGGAAGGAGACUCGUAUGUUCUGAGCAUUGUGUGCCAGGCUCUUCCUGUUGCGUAUAUGACUGUACUUCAUCCAUCAUCUUGUGAGGCCACUGUGAAAGUAGCUCCACUCUAGGCAGGUACAGCCAAGAACAAAGGAUUCUCCCUACCUUCAGUAUCCAGUUGAGAGCUACAGUAUCUCUCUGGGAGUGGCAGACCACCAGCAUUUUUCAUCUUCCUCACCUCUGUGUGUUGCAGCAGCUCUAUUCCAG